RNAcentral lists this ribosomal RNA (620 nucleotides) under uncultured Pedobacter sp. RNAcentral describes it as "bacterial SSU rRNA". It matches the Rfam family "Bacterial small subunit ribosomal RNA", at positions 413 to 1035 of the family's 1533-position model. Lineage: Bacteria; Pseudomonadati; Bacteroidota; Sphingobacteriia; Sphingobacteriales; Sphingobacteriaceae. The record is from RNAcentral.
GGCCCUACGGGUUGUAAACUGCUUUUGUACCGGAAUAAACCCUUUUACGUGUAAGAGGCUGAAUGUACGGUAAGAAUAAGGAUCGGCUAACUCCGUGCCAGCAGCCGCGGUAAUACGGAGGAUCCGAGCGUUAUCCGGAUUUAUUGGGUUUAAAGGGUGCGUAGGCGGCCUGUUAAGUCAGGGGUGAAAGACGGUGGCUCAACCAUCGCAGUGCCCUUGAUACUGAUGGGCUUGAUUACAGUUGAGGUAGGCGGAAUGUGACAAGUAGCGGUGAAAUGCAUAGAUAUGUCACAGAACACCAAUUGCGAAGGCAGCUUACUAAAGUGUAAAUGACGCUGAGGCACGAAAGCGUGGGGAUCAAACAGGAUUAGAUACCCUGGUAGUCCACGCCCUAAACGAUGAAUACUCGAUGUUAGCGAUAUACAGUUAGCGUCUAAGCGAAAGCGUUAAGUAUUCCACCUGGGGAGUACGCCCGCAAGGGUGAAACUCAAAGGAAUUGACGGGGGCCCGCACAAGCGGAGGAGCAUGUGGUUUAAUUCGAUGAUACGCGAGGAACCUUACCCGGGCUUGAAAGUUACUGAAUGAUCCAGAGAUGGGUCAGUCCUUCGGGACAGGAAACU